GGUGCUUCUGUGUAUAUUCCUGGGUAAUAGAGGAUUAUUGGUCAUUAGCUAUGUGGUACUUAAAGUUUUGAUCUUUGAUUAUCUGUGCUGAGAGAUAACAAACAAAAAAAAAUCUGAGUUACGUGAACAUCUUUUUUUUUUUUUUUUUUUUAGUGAACCUUGUUCAUGUAUAUUUUGACCAGGGCUGUUUAUAGGUAGCAAAAGUGAUGUAAAGCUAGGCACAAUUUGAUAAACAAUGACGGUCAGGGAGUAAAAAUAGAAAUAGUUACUGAAUAUUUCAUGAGCAUAUAUUGGAGCAUUGUUUGUAUUUUUGCCUCAGUUUAUUUAAAUAUGUCUAAGUCAAGAUGUUUUAUUGAUAUGUUUGUUUAAAAAAGGCUUUUAGUAGAGCUUGAGAGAAAAGAUGACCAGUCAGUCCCAAUCUUAAAACCAGUUCUUUAGAAUAUUAAACUAAUUUAUGUUCAAACUUAAUAACUUAGUACUACUUGGAGACAAAUACAAAGCUGGAGGUCAACAUCAUGUAGGAAAAAUUUUAAUCCCCCAACGAAAAAUAUGGGUGGUUUUGUCUUUUUAUUUUUAUAUUAGAAACUAUUUACCUAAGAGUUUGUUUUUAUUGUUUAACCUUAUUUGUUCUUUAAUUUUAAUAAACUGAGACAUGAAAGAGAAUGCUGAAAUGCCAAACUGGGUUAAGACUUCAGUAGUUUAUAAACAAUAACAGAUACCUAGCUAAAGUUACCUUUAUUUCAUUGAGCCUAGAAAGUUAUUUUUACUGUGACAUUUUUAAGAUCAUGUUAUACUUCCAGUAAAUUAUAAUUACCUGUAUGGUUCUUUAAUCUUUUAGAAAGAUACUUAGAUAAAACGUCAAGGGCUUUUUUAUAAGUAUUAGGAAUGCUUGCUUUUGGAUGUAGAAAUAGAGAAAGCAGAAGAUACAGGAAUGGAAUAGUUUCAUGGUAUGGUCUUUCUGUGAAUAUUUUUGGGUGAAAUCUUUUCUUUGGAGAUUAUACUAUACAUUAUUAGAUGGCCUAAAAAAAUACUUGAGUGAAAUGCAGUCAUCAAAUGUUUUUCUAUUGGUUAUUUCCAUCCUAAAUUAAAGUGAGUUGAUAUUGCCACGAAAAGGGAUACUUCUUUUCUUGUCAAGCUAGUAGUAUGGUAUAUGUGAAGAAAAACAGUUUUUUCAUUUCAGGUCAUUUAUUCAAUGUAAUUUUGACUACUGUACAUUAAGCCUAGCUCAUCUUAUAAAAACAGAGGUAACAUUUCAAUUUUCAAUAACAUUUUAAUUUCUUUGCGUGCAUUCUUGGAUGAAUGUUUAUUUGAUAGUACAAAAUCUUAUUCUGUGUGGGCUGAGUAUGUAUGUUUUAAUUUAGAACUAAGCUGUUAGGAAGACAUUGAGUGAGUUUCUUUUGUUUUACGAGCCAUUUUGAUUAGGUUUUCUUUUAUGUUUACUUAAACAAAUUAGAAUUUUAUUUGAGUGCCAUGUCUAAUGCCUAAGUAGGUUUCUCUGGAAAAUUAAGACAAUAUUAAGAAAGCUAUAAUAAUUUUACUUUAAAGACAUUUUUAAACUUGUAGGUUUUAAUCAUUUUGGUAUUCAUAGCCAGUAAUUGUGUCCAAAAGUAGCAAUAAAUAACUUAUAAUAUUAUGGAAGUAAUUUCUCCUAAAAUUGAGCAUAGUGUUGCAUAUCACUCAUUAAACUUUUAAAAAAACUAACCAUUGAUAAAUAUAUGAUGUACUGAAUGUUAGGUGCUACUGCUUUAUCUUCUGGGUAAUGUCAGAAGACUAAUUUCUUUUAAGGUAACAGUUUUAAAGUGUUAACCAUAGUCUUGGACAUAAAAUAUUAUUAGUCUUUAUCUUGAAUUUGUUACUACUUUGCACUAAGAUUACAAGGGCCUUCACUUAGGUGACAAGGUUCUGAGCUUCCACUGACUGUGGUUUUCCAUUUAAAGGAACAAAAAAGCACUAGUACCUAAAAUUUGCUGUAAAAGACAUUUCACCUGCUUUGGUAUUACCUCACUGCCAUCUGACUGUAUCCCUGCCUUUCCUGAUUUCUGUGGCUAUAGUAGAAGUCUUGUGGAGUUUGUGGAGUUUUUGAAGUUUGUGUAGUUUUGAAGUUUUGAGAACAGACCUGUUUGUAGUUAUGAUCCAGUGGCAUAAGCUGACCUCAGGAUAUACCAGCUUGCUUUAUUAGUGACUUAAUUUUCUUACUGUAGUAAAUUGGGUGUGAUUUUAACUUGUUCAUUCUUUGUAUAUGUAUACUUUAAGUAUACAUAUUUUGUAUAUGUAUAUUUUAACUUGUAAGUGAUCAGACAUCUCUAUCAUCAUCUCUGAAUUAAAAUUAAAAUUGUUUAACUCCUGAAAAAUUCAACUGAUGUUAUGCAACUUGGAACAUAAGACCGGACAAAUUACUGAAUCUGACAUUUCAAAUAUUUCCUAAUGUGCUUUUAACUUUUGCUGGGCACAAAUGGAAUUUCUCAGCCUCUGUCAUAAAAAAAGAGUUUGUUAUUGUUUGGUAAGACAGAUUAAAACACAGCUGGGAAUGAAGUAGUUAGCCCAGUCUCAAAGACAUUAGCCUCCCUCUGUUUAUUUCCUCCUGUUUGUAUUCCUAGAAGCAAACAGCUGUGCAUUCCAUUUUAUUCUUUAUUCCUUUACUUAAAAUCUGGAUCCCAAAAGAAGUAAAUUGGGCAUUUAGGCUUAGAAAAGUUGCCUUAUCUGUAAUUUUUAUUGCCCUUUUCACUUGAAACAAUGAUGUAUUCAUAGUCUUAAAUAUUUUUAAAAGUAGUUACCCACAAUCUCACCAUCAAACAUUUUCAUAUAGUUUACCCAUAAUAUAGAUACCAUUCAGUAGUCUGCUUUUCUCAGAUGAUUGCUAUAACAUUUUCUUACCCAUCUACAGACUUAUAGUUUUAACUUCUGCUGUUCUGUUAUUCUGUUUAUUCUGUUAUUAAAUGUUUCAUUUAAAAUUGUGCACAGUUCACUUAGUUCCAAAAUAAUAUUACUUUCAUGUAUGAAUAACAUACAUUUUAAACUUUUAAAUGUCUUUUCUAGACUGAUUAAAUGUUUAAAUUCUCAUAAAGCCAUUUAUGCUAUACAAAUUAGCAUAGGUCUGCAGGUUUCAGUUCAAAGAAUGUCAGGUAUAGGUAAAUAAAAACUUUAAUUUGAAAAAUUGAAAUAAAUACUCAAAAGUAUUUGAAGCCCGUAGAGACAGGCAAGGCCUUUAGGAAUGCAUCAGUGAAUUCAUUUUUUAUGUAUAUACAGGAAUGCAUGGUCAUGCAUAAUUAUAUAUAAUUGGCAAUAGUAAGCUGUUUAUUAUAGUAAGUUGAUGUGGGUCCUUCAGAUGACAAUUUUGUGGAUGGUGGAAUUAAGAUGAUCUUGUGGUAGAGCAUAGUUGGCUUCUGUGAUUUAUUUGUUGAUGGGCCCCCAUAUAGCUCUCAUUUUAGUUAACAUAUUGUUAUUUAUCUGUCAUCCAUGGACUUAUUUUUACACUGUUAAAUCUAUUUUUUAGUAUGUAUUAAGUAAAUAACUUUAUGUUUUAGUUUUUUCUUUUAUUUCUCUUAAAAUGAUUUAUUAUGACAUGUAGUCAUAGAAUUCCAGUGUUCUUAUUUUUAAGAUAAAGUUCAUGUUAUUGAACACUGACAGUCAUCUCAUCCCAUUCCUAUCAUUUUCUUCAUCAUCAUCAUCAUCUGUCUUAUAGUAUGAAAUUAUACCUUGGGUCAUAAAUUACUCCUUUCAUUCUUUUUAAACCAAAAGCUUUUUAACUUUAAGUUGUUAUAUUGCAACCAAAUGGGACAUAACAACAAUAUACUCCUUGAAAAAAUGUUUUUUCUGAAUAGAAAGGAAUAUGUGCUUCUGUUGGGAAACGUAGAAUAUCACACCAAAAAAUGUUAAUACCUGUACUCUACCACUGUAUAUGUAACUAUUGACAUGUAUUCUUUCAGUUUCCUUCCUAUACAUUUAUAUAAUAAGAGAAUUGGGAUUAUAGUUCACACAUUCAUAACUUGAUUCACUUAAUGUGUCUUGAGUAUUUACUAUUAAAUAUUGAUGUACAUCUUUUUAGUUAUUAUUAGAAAAGCUAUAUGUAUUGAUGAUAAUUCCCCUGCCUUUUCAGCCUUCUUUUGUCAGCUACUGAUGAAACUUUUUUAUAUAAUAAUAAACAGUGCUGGGU
This 4153-nucleotide long non-coding RNA is filed under the name Homo sapiens (human). Its description in RNAcentral is "HSALNT0367007". The record is from RNAcentral. Lineage: Eukaryota; Metazoa; Chordata; Mammalia; Primates; Hominidae.